UGGUACUUGUACCGACUGGAUGAGCAGCGAACGGGUGAGUAACGCGUGGGGAAUCUGCCUUUGAGCGGGGGACAACAUUUGGAAACGAAUGCUAAUACCGCAUAAAAACUUUAAACACAAGUUUUAAGUUUGAAAGAUGCAAUUGCAUCACUCAAAGAUGAUCCCGCGUUGUAUUAGCUAGUUGGUGAGGUAAAGGCUCACCAAGGCGAUGAUACAUAGCCGACCUGAGAGGGUGAUCGGCCACAUUGGGACUGAGACACGGCCCAAACUCCUACGGGAGGCAGCAGUAGGGAAUCUUCGGCAAUGGACGAAAGUCUGACCGAGCAACGCCGCGUGAGUGAAGAAGGUUUUCGGAUCGUAAAACUCUGUUGGUAGAGAAGAACGUUGGUGAGAGUGGAAAGCUCAUCAAGUGACGGUAACUACCCAGAAAGGGACGGCUAACUACGUGCCAGCAGCCGCGGUAAUACGUAGGUCCCGAGCGUUGUCCGGAUUUAUUGGGCGUAAAGCGAGCGCAGGUGGUUUAUUAAGUCUGGUGUAAAAGGCAGUGGCUCAACCAUUGUAUGCAUUGGAAACUGGUAGACUUGAGUGCAGGAGAGGAGAGUGG
RNAcentral lists this ribosomal RNA (604 nucleotides) under Lactococcus lactis. RNAcentral describes it as "bacterial SSU rRNA". It matches the Rfam family "Bacterial small subunit ribosomal RNA", at positions 74 to 664 of the family's 1533-position model. Lineage: Bacteria; Bacillati; Bacillota; Bacilli; Lactobacillales; Streptococcaceae. The record is from RNAcentral.